This 329-nucleotide ribosomal RNA is filed under the name uncultured eukaryote. RNAcentral describes it as "partial 18S ribosomal RNA". It matches the Rfam family "Eukaryotic small subunit ribosomal RNA", at positions 1470 to 1796 of the family's 1831-position model. The record is from RNAcentral.
CCCUUAGAUGUCCUGGGCCGCACGCGCGCUACACUGAGUGUCUGAGAUACGAGUCUGCCUGGUCCGGCAAGGUCUAGGUAAUCGCUAAAAGACACAUCAUGCUUGGGAUAGAUUAUUGCAAAUAUUAAUCUUGAACGAGGAAUUCCUAGUAAGCGCAAGUCAACAGCUUGCGUUGAUUACGUCCCUGCUCUUUGUACACACCGCCCGUCGCUACUACUGAUUGGAUGUUUAAGCGAGGUUCUCGAACUGCUAGCGACUUAGCUUCGGUGAGGUCGCAGUGUGGGAAGUGAACCUAGCUUUGGUGUCUAGAGGAAGUAAAAGUCGUAACA